Molecule: long non-coding RNA, 943 nt
Organism: Cygnus atratus (black swan)
Lineage: Eukaryota; Metazoa; Chordata; Aves; Anseriformes; Anatidae
Exons: 5
Source: RefSeq, a predicted model, not a curated record
AGAGAUGGCUUUAGCUGCCUGUGAAGAAGAAAUCCUCUGCAUCCUGAUGUCCACCAGAUUCAGCUCAUGGUCUUCUGGUGUCCAGAACUUACCAUCUUUCAGCUCUCACCAAUGAGGAAGUCCACAUAUCUUGAAUCUAGCCUCUGUCAGUCCCUAUUCCUGUGGGAGGGAUAUUGUGGAAACCUGAAGCAUACUGAAAGUGCCUUUAAAAGGAGAUGCUGAUUUUAAUUGGAGGGAAUGGUACACAAGCCUGCUAAAUAGAGUAUUUGGUCUAAUUAAUCAGCGGCUAUGUUCAUGAUUGGGCAUGGAUGUCUGGAAAGGCCUUCGCUCCUCAAUAUGUCCAAGGGUUUAAAAGUCUGAGGCAAAUCCAAGUUCACUGACUAAAGACUGCUGGAUAUACAAGAGUGUAACCACCCCUUUUAUCCCACUACUAUGACCUCAAAAGAAAGACUUGUCAAAAAGCAUUCAUAGUAACAGCAUACGUGAAUAUUUUCACUGUUUAAAGUCUGCCACUUAUUCCUUUGUACCACUCUGGUUGCUUUCCUGAGAUCACAUUAAACUCAGCUGAGCAUAACAUGCAAAGGAAAAGUGACCCUGAAAGGUUCCUUUUAAGCACUCUAUGCUUCCCUGACUCAUUUUAAUGUGGCUGCCACGUGGUUCAGUAGCUGUAUAAGUGCAUGUGCUUGUUUAGUCCUGCCGUAAAUGUUAAUCUCUCCCUGGAAGAUAAAAGGACUGCCCCCUUAUAUUAUAUUAACUCCAAAAUUAUUAUUACUUUCAAAAAAUAUAUAUUUUUUGUAUUUAAGCCUCCCUUCCAUGAAUGUGAAGGGAGAUGGCAGUAUCAAGACAGCACUUUGACAAAAAAAAAAAAAAAGGCAAAAUGCCAGUCCUCAUUGUAGGCCUGUGGGGUAGUGCAUAUGAAACAAAAACACUGCUACAAAGGAAG